GACGAACGCUGGCGGCGUGCCUAAUACAUGCAAGUCGAGCGGACUGAAUGGGAGCUUGCUCUUGUUCGGUCAGCGGCGGACGGGUGAGUAACACGUGGGCAACCUGCCCGCAAGACCGGGAUAACUCCGGGAAACCGGAGCUAAUACCGGAUAACACCGAAGACCGCAUGGUCUUUGGUUGAAAGGCGGCGCAAGCUGCCACUUGCGGAUGGGCCCGCGGCGCAUUAGCUAGUUGGUGAGGUAACGGCUCACCAAGGCGACGAUGCGUAGCCGGCCUGAGAGGGUGACAGGCCACACUGGGGCUGAGACGCGGCCCAGACUCCUACGGGAGGCAGCAGUAGGGAAUCUUCCGCAAUGGGCGAAAGCCUGACGGAGCGACGCCGCGUGAGCGAAGAAGGCCUUCGGGUCGUAAAGCUCUGUUGUGGGGGACGAAGGAGCGCCGUUUGAAGAAGGCGGCGCGGUGACGGUACCUCACGAGGAAGCCCCGGCUAACUACGUG
This 499-nucleotide ribosomal RNA is filed under the name uncultured bacterium. RNAcentral describes it as "partial 16S ribosomal RNA". It matches the Rfam family "Bacterial small subunit ribosomal RNA", at positions 28 to 507 of the family's 1533-position model. The record is from RNAcentral.